AUACCGCUCGCGCCGCCACCCUCCCUCACCUGGAGACGGAGCGCCCGCCACUGACCCCAGGCCCCGCUACGCCUCAGGCACAUCGCCGCCAUCUUCCGGGGGAGUCUGAAGAAAUACAACAAACCGAUCCGUAAGCGAGUCGCAAACGCCAACGCUGUAUUCCCACAAAGUGAAACCGGCUUCGGGCGAAAGGACAGAAUCCGAAGACGAAACCGGCACUCCCGGUUAUGUAAGGCGACCGGCGAGUGUCAACAAAAGAAAUCUGCCGAAUGACGCUUGCGCUUUACGCCGUCCGCUUCGUUUCAUAACUCUUAAAGGGGCAGUGACCCCAUUGGGGAUCUGCGUUUGCAAGGAUAAAUGUACCGAAGUGGUAAUGUCCCUAACUCUGAGCCAGGAGACCAGAGUUCAAGUGCCACCUGCUCCAAAGGUGUGUAAUAACAUCUCUGAACAGGCUGGUUAAAAAUAUCUCUUAUGGAUUUGCAAACUACAACAUAUACAUGUCCGUUUUCAUUGUCAUCUCUCAGGGUCAUAAACCCAGAGCAAAAGCCGGAAACCUGAUAUAAACAUGUCGUUGCUAGAAAUACUCAGCAGGCCUGUUAGUCCCAGUGGAGAAUCAACUUAUGUCUACAUUGCACCUUUAACAUAAUGAAACUUCCAAGGUGUUUUACAGCAUGACGAAACUUCGUCAAGCCCUUUAAGAACAUUAGGUGACCAAAAGGUUGAUGCAAUCGGUAGAAUCUUAAAAGAGGUAAAAGGGGUGUGUUUCAGUUCAGCGAUCUAUGUUCAGAAUUCUUAAUCCUAUAUUUAUUAUUCAAAUUAUUUACGCAAAACGACAUUCAAAUUACCUUCAAACUUUAAAAACACUACAAUAUUUACUAGAGAUGAUGGGAACUGCAGAUGCUGGAGAAUCCAAGAUAAUAAAAUGUGAGGCUGGAUGAACACAGCAGGCCAAGCAGCAUCUCAGGAGCACAAAAGCUGACGUUUCGGGCCUAGAGCCGAAAUAUUUACUAGUUCACAGGUCAGAUGUAUGGUGCGCAAAAUUUGCAGAUCCAGCUUUGUUCUUAUUUUAAAACAGACCCUAAAAGCAGCAUAGAACAUUAACAAGUUUUCCUUUCCUUGUUACAUAUUGGGAGGAAUUUUGGGGGAAAGAAGACAAACAGCAAGAUGAUCAGUUCAAGUAAAUUAUGGCCUCAAACAUAUAAACUUCAUACCCUUUUUUAAAAUGCUUUCAAAAUAAACUUACUUCUAUUUCAGACACUAAAUUCAACAGUGAAAUAAAUCCUUGUGGAAGUGUACACUAGGCAUAAUUGCAGCUGAACUUUUUUAAAUUCCAUCUACAAAUUAACUGGUUUACAAAGCCUUUCAGAUCUCCUUGGAGAUUGUGAUGUGUUAUGUUCUGGACCACAGAUUUUGGUUUAUUACUUGAGUUCCUGUUACUUGCUCAGAGUUUAAUAUUUCAGGCAUUGAAACCUGACUGGUUUGCAUGUUUGCAAUAAUUGGCUUAUUUCUCACAGAUCAUGUGAUUUACAGGGACCAUUCUCACCUUUUCAUCAAUUUUAACCAAAUAUGUUUUAGCUCCACAAACCUACUCUGUACCUCUUACAAACCACAUGUGUGACUUGACAGGGAUUCAGAACACAAAUAUGCUUAUUUUGACUAAAAACUAUGUUUGUAUAAUACUGACACAUAUGACUGAACUAUUUUGAGUUUAACAUUGGUCAACAAAGUUCCAAGCAAGCAUUGUACCAAACGUGAACUUGUUUUUUUCUCCACAAGUUCCACUAGACCUGCUGACCUUUUCCAGCAGUUUCCCUUUUCUUUAAUUUCAGAUUUCCAGCACCUGCAAUGUGGGACUGAAUGGAAGUCACGUGGCACAGCAUUAGCAUCUCCGUCUCUGAACCUGAUGCACUGGCUCUGAGUCCCGCUCCAGGAUUAAAUGGCAAUGGAAAGUUUGUGACCAAACAGGUUGACCCCAGAGGGAAUAAACAGUAAAACCUGGAAAUGAGUAUAAUGGGACACCAUUUUGAUGUAUACUAAGCAAGUUGGGACAACAUGUUUCAUUUGUCAGUUUUACUGCAGAAGGUAAGCCUGCCUGACCUGAAUAGUCAGCCAUGCUUGAUGCAGAGUGGUACCCCUCAGGUUUUACCCCCUGGCAAUAGGCUUAUGACCCAUUCCAUGAAAAUCUAACAAUGGAACCAGGCUUAUGUAUGUACUUUGUCUGCCUCAUACAACUAGGUAUGAAAAGAGAAUAGAGGACAUUUGUUGAAGUUUCAGGUAAGUGUGAACACUGGCUGUCAUUGAGAUAACAAGGUGUAGAGCUGGAUGAUCACAGGAGGCCAAGCAACAUCUUAGGAGCAGGAAAGCUGACGUUUCGGGCCUAGACCCUUCAUCAGAAAUGGGUCAUUGUCAUUGAUCCUGGUGAUUUGACAUGAAAAGUAUUUCAGAGCAGAUCAGCAAGACAUAAGUUUGCUUGAGUUCAGAAGCUUUUAAAAUAAAAGUUAUUUUGUAAAAAUAAAUAAUUGUGAUGAACGUGAUAUGAUUUUUCAGUCCCCAGGUGUCAGUGCAGUUCUAGUGCUGAUUCUUGUUAAGUAUGGAUAACUUUCCUAAUCAACCUGAUCCGAGAUGUUAUGACACACCGCUAGAACAGGUGGGUCUUAAAACCCACAUCUCCAGACUCAAAGAUGCACCAUAGAAAGCAUACUAUUCAGGCUAACACAGCCUGGUACGGCUACUGCUCUGCCCAGGAUUGUAAGAAACUACAGCAGUUGUGUGCACAACCCAAGCCAUCUUCCAUUCAUGGACUCUAUCUGCAUCUCUCAUUGCCCUGGAAAGGCUACGAACAUCAUGAAAGACCCAUCCCUCCACAGUAAUGCUCUCCUACAACCUCUUCCAUCAGGCUGAAGACAACAGAAGCUUGAACACAUUGCACGAAAAAGUUCAAGAACAGCUUUAUCCUUGCCAUUAUUAGACUGACAAAUGGACUGUCUAACUUCAAAUAAUGUCGAUCUUGUUAAUAUUGAUCUUGCCUAGUGUAUGUCCUGUGCAGUGUAACCUGUAUGCCUCACUCUGACCAAGUCUUUUUUCCCCCACCCUAUUAUCUGUAUGUCCUUGCUUACUACAAUUUGCCUGUACUGCUCGCAGACAAAGCUUUUCACUGUAUUUGGGUACAGAUGAGAAUAAAUCAAAUCAAAUUUUAAAAAAAUGAAACAUAAGAAAACUAGACAGUAGAACCAUAUAUAAGUUUUAUGUACUGAUUAAAGUGUGAUUGAAGAGGAUUGUUUGACCUACUAACUCCCAUCCUGCGAGAAUAUCUCCACAAUCAAGAACAACUGAUGAAUCUGGUGGCAGUGCCUCAGGCAUGCUUGAUGGUAAUCAUAUUUCAUUGUUAACCCUAAUAAAUAAUUCCUGGAAUCUGGGAAAAAAAAUUGA
Long non-coding RNA from Stegostoma tigrinum, 3429 nucleotides. RefSeq lists it as uncharacterized. The record is from RefSeq and is a predicted model, not a curated record. The transcript has 2 exons. Lineage: Eukaryota; Metazoa; Chordata; Chondrichthyes; Orectolobiformes; Stegostomatidae.